GAUCAGUGCGUAUCAUAUGGUACAUUUAAAUACAAUUAUGUCUUUUGUGAGAAUACGACAGACAUAUAUAAUGAGUAUCAUAUGGUACAUUUAAAUACCAUAGAGACAAGCAUAAUUAUAAUCUUAGAGGAAUCAAUGAUGUCAAAAAAAAAAAAAAAAACUUAGAAGAACCAAUUAUUUAUUAGUAUUCAAGAAACCCACAUGGCAACCAUGCAAGCGUUUAAUUCGUAAUUAUGACUCACCAGAUAAUAUCUCCUCCAAAGGCCAUUUUAAAAAUUAUUGAUUGUUAGGUACAAUUUUUUAGAUUACGAGCACCUACUUUUAUUCAUUUUCAAAAAAAAUAUAUCCAAAAAAUAAAGUUAACAUAUUUAUCAAUAAUUUGCUUCAUCUUUAAUAAAAG
Molecule: long non-coding RNA, 400 nt
Filed under: Brassica napus (rape)
Lineage: Eukaryota; Viridiplantae; Streptophyta; Magnoliopsida; Brassicales; Brassicaceae
Description: long non-coding RNA (BNAP_LNC006287)
Source: RNAcentral